AGAGUUUGAUCCUGGCUCAGAAUGAACGUUGGCGGCGUGGAUUAGGCAUGCAAGUCGUACGGGCCGCAAGGCCAGUGGCGCAAGGGUGAGUAAGGCGACGGUAACCAACCCCAGGACUGGGUAUAGCCGCGGGAAACUGCGGGUAAUCCCCAGCGAUGUCGCGGCGGGGCAUCCCUCUGCGACCAAAGCUCCGGCGUCCUGGGACGGGCCGUCGUGGUAUUAGGUUGUUGGCGGGGUAACGGCCCACCAAGCCUGCGAUGCCUACCGGGCGUGCGAGCGUGGCCCGGCACACUGGGACUGAGACACUGCCCAGACUCCUACGGGAGGCUGCAGUCGAGAAUCUUCGGCAAUGGGCGCAAGCCUGACCGAGCGACGCCGCGUGGAGGACGAAGGCCUUCGGGUUGUAAACUCCUGUCGAGGGGGAAGAAGGGUCGAAAGACCUUGACUUAUCCCUGGAGGAAGCACGGGCUAAGUUCGUGCCAGCAGCCGCGGUAAGACGAACCGUGCGAACGUUAUUCGGAAUCACUGGGCUUAAAGCGCGUGUAGGCGGGACGGCACGUCGGUCGUUGAAAUCCCCCGGCUCAACCGGGGAACGGGCGCCGAUACGACCGUCCUGGAGGGACGUAGGGGGACCUGGAACUUCCGGUGGAGCGGUGAAAUGCGUUGAGAUCGGAAGGAACGCCCGUGGCGAAAGCGAGGUCCUGGACGUUUUCUGACGCUGAGACGCGAAAGCCAGGGGAGCGAACGGGAUUAGAUACCCCAGUAGUCC
Molecule: ribosomal RNA, 769 nt
Filed under: uncultured bacterium
Lineage: Bacteria
Description: bacterial SSU rRNA
Rfam family: Bacterial small subunit ribosomal RNA
Source: RNAcentral